GCAAUUUCAAAAGACAAUCCGCUAUUAAUAUCAGCUGAUUUGUUAGAAAAGAGUUUUCAUAAGAAAAAUUUGGAACGCAAAAAAUCCGAAAUAAAAAAACAACUUUUUGAGAUAUCUUCUAAUACUACUGCUCGAUCAAAUUUAAAAAGAAAUUCAUCCGAAGAAGAUGAAAAAGUCAUAAAAAAGCCAAAAGUUAGUUUUAUUCCUUU
Molecule: long non-coding RNA, 209 nt
Organism: Daktulosphaira vitifoliae (grape phylloxera)
Lineage: Eukaryota; Metazoa; Arthropoda; Insecta; Hemiptera; Phylloxeridae
Exons: 3
Source: RefSeq, a predicted model, not a curated record